Molecule: ribosomal RNA, 468 nt
Filed under: uncultured bacterium
Lineage: Bacteria
Description: partial 16S ribosomal RNA
Rfam family: Bacterial small subunit ribosomal RNA
Source: RNAcentral
GACGAACGCUGGCGGCGUGCUUAACACAUGCAAGUCGAACGGAAAGACCCGACUUUUGUUUGUUUCUUGAUUGGCGAACGGGUGAGUAACACGUGAGUAACCUGUCCUUGUCUUUGUGAUAACUUCAGGAAACUGGGGCUCUUAUCCCAGAUGAUCUCCUGCUCCAUGUGGUUGAUAGGUAAGAGUCGGCGGUGGUGUAUGUUCUCGCAGGUUAUGAGCUUGUUUGGGGGGUAGGUGCUUACCAAGGCUUUGACGGCUAGGCGGCAUGGGAGCGUGAACAGGCACAUUGGGACUGAGAUACGGAGCAGAAUCGUACGGGACGCAGUAGUGGGGAGUCUUGCAGAGUGGGGGGACGUGUGAUGUAGAGGUGCUGCGUGCGGGAUGCCGGCUUUUGGGUUGUAAACAGAUUUCGAAGGUGCCGAAGAGUGCGUGACGGUACUGGGUCAAGAAGCAACGGCUAACUACGUG